This 1275-nucleotide unclassified non-coding RNA is filed under the name Hevea brasiliensis (rubber tree). Lineage: Eukaryota; Viridiplantae; Streptophyta; Magnoliopsida; Malpighiales; Euphorbiaceae. The record is from RNAcentral.
AAUCAUCUGACCAUUUACUUUUACUUAAUGCUUUUACUCCUUGUGUAGGAUGUUCCUCUUCAACAUCCCAUCUCUUCCCAUCUUCUGGAGGAACUGGAGUUCAAAAUUAUGAACUAAAUAGGAGAAUUAAACCAGUUUUGAAGUAGUAACAUGUUUUCUUAGUAGACAGAGAGACACGAGUACAUAACCAUGAGCAUACUAGGACCAACAAAUAAAUCUUUUCCAAGUAAAAUGUGAAAAUAAGUUUUUAUAUGCAUAAACACAGCAGAUAUUCAAUAUUCAUUCCUUGCAAGCUGCUAGUGAAUAUAUAUUGUGUUCUCACUGUACAAGCAACACUAGACAUUGACAAAUCACAACUUUCAUAGAGAUGUUUCUUUUCUGAUUCAGCAGGGAAUUAUAGUAGAAAAGUCCAGGCAUUAGUGAUAACAGAAGUAACAAUUCUUAAUAAAACUUCUACCUUAAAGUUCGAUACCUUGGUGCCAGUUCAAUACCAUGGUGCCAGUGUUGUAAAGGCGCACUAGGUGCAAGUGCCUCCAAUAGCAAGAGGUGGUGACAUCAGCCAGGCGCGCCUCUGGUGAAUUUCAGUCAUUUUUUUUAUAUCCCAAUCUCGUUCAGCAGGAGAAUUAUAGUAGAGAAGUUCAGGCAUUAGUGAUAACAGAAGAAACAAUUCUUCAUAAAACUUCUACCUUAAAGUUCAAUACCUUAAUGCCAGGGUUGUUAUAGGUGCAUCUUUGCAAGUGCCUCCAAUAGCAACAGGCAGGCGACCUUGCCCAGGUGCACCAGGCGCAAGGCGAAUCAAGGAGCGCCUAUGUGUUCUCAACCACACUCGAUCAUAUAUCUCCAAUAGGGAGAACAACAUAAACAAGGGUUCUUCUUCCUCUCACUGUUGGCAGUUCAAAAAAGAAGAAGAAGAAGAAGAGAUUGAACUGGUGCUUUCCCACUGCUGCCCUGAGGUGCAUCAUCCUCCAAGGGAACUGGUACGGUUUUCUCAGUCUUUCUAUCCAGCAGUCCAGGUGGAAUAUAAUCAAAGCUUCCAUCUUCAGUAUCCAUAUCAACCUUGAAAAUUGACACAAGAAUGAAUUUAAAUCAAAAUGGUGGAAAAACUUACACAGUUAAAGUGUAAACUAUUUUAUAUGAUGAACAAAGCGAGGCUAUUUAUUGUAGUUCGACUCAUCUCAAAUUACACAGGCAAAAUGAUAACUAUGAGAAGUUUAUAAAAAGUCCACAUAAUUUGUUUUUCUAAUGUCCUGUAUUUAAGAAACACACACACACACA